UCCUAGGUGGCAUUAGAGAAACUCAAAGGA
This 30-nucleotide non-coding RNA is filed under the name Mus musculus (house mouse). Lineage: Eukaryota; Metazoa; Chordata; Mammalia; Rodentia; Muridae. The record is from RNAcentral.